AGUUUGAUCGUCAGAUUGAACGUGGCGGCAGGCUAACACAGCAAGUCGAGCGGAUGAAGGAGCUUGCUCCUGGAUUCAGCGGCGGACGGGUGAGUAAUGCCUAGGAAUCUGCCUGGUAGUGGGGGACAACGUUUCGAAAGGAACGCUAAUACCGCAUACGUCCUACGGGAGAAAGCAGGGGACCUUCGGGCCUUGCGCUAUCAGAUGAGCCUAGGUCGGAUUAGCUAGUUGGUGAGGUAAUGGCUCACCAAGGCGACGAUCCGUAACUGGUCUGAGAGGAUGAUCAGUCACACUGGAACUGAGACACGGACGGGAGGCAGCAUGGACAAGGAAAGCCUGAUCCAGCCAUGCCGCGUGUGUGAAGAAGGUCUUCGGAUUGUAAAGCACUUUAAGUUGGGAGGAAGGGCAGUAAAUUAAUACUUUGCUGUUUUGACGUUACCGACAGAAUAAGCACCGGCUAACCUGUGCCAGCAACAUCGGAAUUACUGGGCGUAAAGCGCGCGUAGGUGGUUUGUUAAGUUGGAUGUGAAAUCGGGCUCAACCUGGGGGCAAGCUAGAGUAUGGUGAGGGGUUGUAGAUAUAGGAAGCCAAGGCGACCACGG
RNAcentral lists this ribosomal RNA (602 nucleotides) under Pseudomonas baetica. Its description in RNAcentral is "bacterial SSU rRNA". It matches the Rfam family "Bacterial small subunit ribosomal RNA", at positions 1 to 682 of the family's 1533-position model. Lineage: Bacteria; Pseudomonadati; Pseudomonadota; Gammaproteobacteria; Pseudomonadales; Pseudomonadaceae. The record is from RNAcentral.